This 276-nucleotide non-coding RNA is filed under the name Carnobacterium inhibens. RNAcentral's name for it is "T-box sequence". It matches the Rfam family "T-box leader". From Rfam's summary of the family: Uncharged tRNA acts as the effector for transcription antitermination of genes in the T-box leader family. T-boxes are found upstream of many aminoacyl-tRNA synthetase genes and some amino acid biosynthetic genes usually in Gram-positive bacteria. Lineage: Bacteria; Bacillati; Bacillota; Bacilli; Lactobacillales; Carnobacteriaceae. The record is from RNAcentral.
UGAAACGCAGCGAUAAGAAAAGUACAUUUAAGUGGAAUCUUUACAGAGAGCCCUGGUAGCUGAAAAAGGGAAGAGAAAGCUGAAUGGAAAAUGGUCUUUGAGUGGAACAAUUGAAUGUUCUGGAUAUUUUUAUAGAACUUUAGAUUGUUACGGGUGCACCCGUUAUAGUGCUACAGUAUGGGAAGUGGUAUUUUGCUUUAGUACUGGAAAAGGUGAAAACUGUGAGGUUUUCAUAAAACAAGGUGGUAACACGUAAUCAAUGAUUCCGUCCUUGCA